Molecule: ribosomal RNA, 339 nt
Filed under: Triticum aestivum (bread wheat)
Lineage: Eukaryota; Viridiplantae; Streptophyta; Magnoliopsida; Poales; Poaceae
Description: partial small subunit ribosomal RNA
Source: RNAcentral
AUGUGGCUAGUCCUGGACUGGCACCAUCACCUGCAUCAUCAGCAACAGUGGAUGGCAUGUAUGGAUAGCACCCAGGUUCUUCAAAUACACAACAAGAAAAUGCCAAUGCAAUUCCAUCUCCUAUUGUGCAAGCUCCUAGUGGACAUGCGCACCAACCGCUCAGUAUGGCAUCUCUACAUGCAGCUGUUGCGGCCGCACAAGGUACUACGAUGGUUGAACCACAGUUUGGAAGACCUUCUACCACACUUGGCCCUGCAAUUCCUAGAGACCCUCCAAAAUCAACAACAAAAGGGAGGGCAAAGUCAAAAAGAAUUCAAUCAGCACUUGAGCUGCAUCUGA